This is a long non-coding RNA of Musa acuminata subsp. malaccensis (wild Malaysian banana), 2527 nucleotides long. RefSeq lists it as uncharacterized. Lineage: Eukaryota; Viridiplantae; Streptophyta; Magnoliopsida; Zingiberales; Musaceae. The record is from RefSeq and is a predicted model, not a curated record.
UAAAAAAACUGGUGGUUCAAAUCGGAAUCGCCUGGCGCUUGCUGGUUCGAUUCCGGUUCCUAGUUUUGGGGAACCGGAACUGUUCGUUCCGGAACCAAAGCGGCUGGUUCUGGAACCAGAACUGUGGUCAGGCCUGAUUCUAGGUUUAUGCUAUGCUUCUUUGAAAAAAGUUUGCUGGAGAGCAUCCUUGAUGCUUCAGUUGAUCAUCACAUUUUUUAGCCAAAACUGACACAUGCAAUGGCAGCAGGAUGUUAAUUAUGAUAAAUUGACAGCAAAUGUAAUCGAGAAAUACAGUGACCUCUUGUUUGAGCCUCCAGAGAUGCUGCUACACCUGCACAAGUUUUCUUUUUAUGCAUUUUAGUUUAUUUCUGAUCUUUACUCAGAGAUAUAUUAAUAUAUUGUCCAGGUUUUUGCUCUUAUUUCUAUUCCUUUUAUACUAUCACAUCAACAUCAGUCUUGCUGCUCAUGAAACACAGGAUCAACAAAUGACGGAUGAAAUGGGACAAUAUGGAAUACCACUUGGUGUCUUGUCAACCAUUGCUGAGAUUCAGUUUCUUGAUGUUGUUGACAAAGUACUAGAAAACAGAGUGUUUGAGAAAAACCUCUGGUAUUCAGCUUAAAUUUCCUCAUCUGGUCGACUCAUUUGAAGAAAGGAGUGCCACUUCAUCGUUAAGGUCUCCUUCGUUGGCCACCACAGUUCCAAAUACUAAGGCUUUAAUAAAGAGCGACCCAGUUUGCAAUUUGAUACUUGGAACUUGGUUCAUAUGAUAGCCUACAAGGAUGCCAUGCUCAGUCACAAAGUCAACCAAUUUUUAACCUCCAUUUCUAUAUCCCUGGUCUAGACAACAACAGAAACGGCGAUUCUUGACAACCAGACUAAGUCAAAUUCAAGAUCUGAAGGUGUUGCCCCGAAUGAACUUUCACUGAUCCCCUUCUUCCAAAGAUCACAAUGGUUGGCAUCUUGAUGGGUGAUGGGCAGAUGACCAAAGCAAACUUGAAGAAGACGAUGAAAUACCUGACAAAGGGGUUAGAGCAAGCAAACCACCAAUGAAAACUCAUCCAAGAAAUGGAUCCUCUGUUCACAGCAAAUGUGGUUGGUUACUUUUGACAUCACAAGGCUGGGCUCUUUCUGACGUAGAAAACACUGAAAUAACUUACCAUGUUCCUGAUCCAUUCUUGACUCAUGCCGCAUGAGUACACUCUUAUAAAGGGACUCGAUUGGGGAGACUCAUCUUUGUUGCCAAGCAAUAAAUCUUGUGGUAAGUGGGGGACAGCAGGGGUUGAUCACUGAUCCAAUUCCACUCUUAGGUAUCUGGACAUACUACCAGGUGGGGAGCCAAUGGUUAAGCAUGCAUACUGUGGAUAUCCACUAUAUCUCUUUCAAUUUCGGAAGGCGGAUUUACCUGCCAUAUAAGUUCACGGUAGCACCGGCACCAACCAUGGCUGUCAGGUUGCUGUGUGGUAGCUGCUAUGCAACAUACAGUCCCAAGAAGAUCAUGUUGGAGGCUCGAUGUCAGUACCGCUGAUUCGCAGAAUGAACACCGAAGUCGACGGCAGGCUAAUCAGGUAUUGUUAUCCAGCACAUUUCUAAGUCUAUGCCGCAUGCCAUCUCAGGAAUCACUGAUGCUAUAAACAGUUGCAAUGUGGCCUCUGGACCCUGUUCAUGGGGCACCACCAUUCAUCCAGAUCACGACCACUUCGGGUGCCAUCCUCGUAAUAAUUCGAGCUUUUCGGCGUGGAGCCGAGUGUUGUUACAACAGUUAUAUGCACUAGGGUGAUGCUCUUGCUUGUGAAGCAAUGAUGGGAAUAACUCUUUUCCCUUUAUAUAUUUGUGUGUGUGUGUUAUCUGAUUCUGUCAGCUGGAGUGAUGUUGAUAAAACUAUCGACAGGAAUUAAUGGACAAAAGAUAAUAAUGAGAUUCGGGGAGGAUCUGAGGCUGUAUAUAGCCACUGAUUUGGUGGGCAUGGAGACAGUGUCGAGUGCUUUCCUGCUGGGCAUAUCCUUCUUUCUCUGGCCAUGUUUUUGCCGCAAUUCCACUACAAAGUGGCGUGCACUUUUGAUGGAGGGAUGGAUCUGUGUGUGAUUGGUUGAGGCUGCGACUGAGUGGUUGUCCUCUGGUCGCAUAGACGGAAGUAAUAGUCUUCUUCUUCUCUUUUUCUUCCUCUAUUAUGUUGAUUUCAUUAGUGCAAUAUUCUUCUCCUGAUUAACAAAAAGAAGUGUUUAAUAGCCUAAAGAGGAAUAGUUUGGGGGCAUAAAUUCUCUACCUCUUAGGCGGCUUCGGGAAUCAGAACAAAGAUGUUGCUGCAGUCGUAAUUGUCUGUAGAGUCAAAAGAAGGUUUGUCUCUGGUGCUCUUUAGUUGGUAUGAGUUGUUGUACAUGACAUAUAUAAUCUUAUACGGAUAUCAAUCAUAGGAAAGGGAACAUAUAAUUGCAAGUAGCAUAACUUCGUUGUUAUAGUUGUACAUGAAAAACAUCACGAACAUUUCGAUUAGGAUCGUCUUCUACUCGAUAUGUUCUUUUUUAUUCU